Epinephelus lanceolatus (giant grouper) is the source of this 1284-nucleotide non-coding RNA. NCBI's taxonomy places the organism in Eukaryota, Metazoa, Chordata, Actinopteri, Perciformes, Serranidae. The record is from RefSeq and is a predicted model, not a curated record.
UAGAGACCUGUGGGUUGCCAUGCCUAAUUGGCAAUGGCACAGCCAACCACCGGAGGCGCACCCACCUAUAAAAUGGGCGAUCCCUCCCUGCCAGUUCUCUCUCUCGCUGCUUCCGACGGGUGACGUCAUUUCCGAGCCGGACGUUUUGCUUCGGACAGAGUGGCUGACUUGGUGCUUCCCAGGCUCGUGUGCGUGUCACCUAAAUGGCCUGCUGUGGUGGACGCCGGUAGCUGCGCGUUACCCUCUCCCUCUUCCUCUGGUCUGUGUGUCAUACUGGUCGACCUGCUAACUGAUCCCUCUGCUAAUGGUGCGUGAGCGACGUCUGCCAAUGGUGCGUGAGUGACGUCAGCACCAGCUGACCGGGUUUGCGGCCAGGGUUUAAAGCGACACAUCACCACCAGCUACGGGGGACCGCUGCUGCUUUUUCUGUUUUUGCUUUCUGCUUUUCGCUGCUGCUUUUCAUUUUGUCGCUUUUUCUUUGUUUUUCUUUUUGUUGCUUUUUGCUGCUUCUUUUGCGGCUGCUUUUGGAUCGCUGCUUUUCACCGCGGCUGCUUAGCUUUUUGUUUAAUUUCCUUUUUUUUGCUUUACUUUUUGUCCUGUUUUGCUUUAACCUGUUUGUCUACUCGUUUUGGUUGACCUGCCUGCGUUGUACGCCUUGGUAUUACGUUUUACCGACCAUUUAAUUAACUCAAUUUUAACGAAGUUCGACUGAGGAGUGGGGUUAAACCCUUUUGUGGUGGAUUGGUUUUGUUUUCUUGGUUACUGUAUUCAGUUCCCUCUGCCUGUCUGAUUUCCCUAAUUGCUUUGGCUUUAAUAUUCUGUUUGGGCAGAGGAUUAAUUCUUUUUUUCAGUAUUUGUCUUUUCUUUAUUUGGCGGUUGGCAGUUUGUAUUUUUUAGUUUAUGAUUUAUAUUGCCUGCCAAUGGCCUGUUUUGUUUAGGAUAUUUCUGUUUAUUGAAUUGUGUUGGUGUGACCCCACUAAUUUCCCCUUUGUUUCCAUUUUAGUUGCUGAGGUCCGGUGGUGGUGACCUGGUGGCGGGGUUCCCCCCCCUUUUCGUGUGCUGUGCUCCCCUGGGUUCUGGGUCUCCUCACUGUGCGUGUGUGACUGUCACGAGUGUCUGGGUGCUUAUAUUUUUGGUUGGGGUGUCUCCACACUAUCAAUAGCCUCUUCACCCCGGUAAGCCUCGGCCCUAGUUUAGUCCCCCAUUUAUUUGCCCCUGUCUGACUGGUGUUUUAUUGUGUUAAAUUGUCUUUUUGUAAUAAAGCAUAUGCCUUUUUAAAAACAA